CAAGGCAUGCCUAGUACGGCGAGUGAGCGGCAACAGCUCAAAUUUGAAAGCUGGCUCCGGCCCGCGUUGUAAUUUGCAGAGGAUGCUUCUGGCGAGGUGCCUUCCGAGUUCCCUGGAACGGGACGCCAUAGAGGGUGAGAGCCCCGUAUGGAUGGACACCAAACCUGUGUGAAGCUCCUUCAACGAGUCGAGUAGUUUGGGAAUGCUGCUCUAAAUGGGAGGUAAAUCUCUUCUAAAGCUAAAUACCGGCCAGAGACCGAUAGCGCACAAGUAGAGUGAUCGAAAGAUGAAAAGCACCUUGAAAAGGGGGUUAAACAGUACGUGAAAUUGUUGAAAGGGAAGCGCUUGUGACCAGACUUGCGCCGGGCAGCUCAUCAGGGGUUCUCCCCUGUGCACUCUGCCCGGCUCAGGCCAGCAUCGGUUCUCGUGGGAGGAUAAGAACGGUAGGAACGUGGCCCCCCUCCGGGGGGGUGUUAUAGCCUGCCGUACGAUACUCCCGUGGGGACCGAGGUUCGCGCUCCGCAAGGAUGCUGGCGUAAUGGUCAUCAGCGACCCGUCUGA
Molecule: ribosomal RNA, 561 nt
Filed under: Cytospora melnikii
Lineage: Eukaryota; Fungi; Ascomycota; Sordariomycetes; Diaporthales; Cytosporaceae
Description: eukaryotic LSU rRNA
Rfam family: Eukaryotic large subunit ribosomal RNA
Source: RNAcentral